Molecule: ribosomal RNA, 630 nt
Filed under: uncultured soil bacterium
Lineage: Bacteria
Description: bacterial SSU rRNA
Rfam family: Bacterial small subunit ribosomal RNA
Source: RNAcentral
UCACGCUGGCGGCGUGCCUAACACAUGCAAGUCGAACGCGAAAGGGGAGCAAUCCCUAAGUAGAGUGGCAAACGGGUGAGUAACACGUGGGUGACCUGCCUUCGAGUGGGGGAUAACGUUCCGAAAGGAGCGCUAAUACCGCAUGACAUCCUGCCUUUAGACAGGCGGAGAUCAAAGCUGGGGAUCGUAAGACCUAGCGCUUGAAGAGGGGCCCGCGCCUGAUUAGCUAGUUGGUGAGGUAACGGCUCACCAAGGCGACGAUCAGUAGCCGGCCUGAGAGGGCGGACGGCCACACUGGGACUGAGACACGGCCCAGACUCCUACGGGAGGCAGCAGUGGGGAAUUGUUCGCAAUGGGCGCAAGCCUGACGACGCAACGCCGCGUGGAGGACGAAGAUCUUCGGGUCGUAAACUCCUGUCGAGCGGGACGAAUGCUUUGCGGCUGAAUAAUCCGCAGAGGUGACGGUACCGCUAAAGGAAGCCCCGGCUAACUCCGUGCCAGCAGCCGCGGUAAUACGGGGGGGGCAAGCGUUGUUCGGAAUUACUGGGCGUAAAGGGCUCGUAGGUGGCCAACUAAGUCAGACGUGAAAUCCCCAGGCUCAACUUGGGAACUGCGUCUGAUACUGGAUGG